Molecule: ribosomal RNA, 468 nt
Filed under: uncultured bacterium
Lineage: Bacteria
Description: partial 16S ribosomal RNA
Rfam family: Bacterial small subunit ribosomal RNA
Source: RNAcentral
GACGAACGCUGGCGGUGUGCUUAACACAUGCAAGUCGAACGGUAAGGCCCUUUCGGGGGUACACGAGUGGCGAACGGGUGAGUAACACGUGAGUAACCUGCCCUCAUCUCUGGGAUAACAGUCGGAAACGGUUGCUAAUACUGGAUAUGAGCUUGCAAGGCAUCUUGUGGGUUGGAAAGAUUUUUUUUGGUUGGGGAUGGACUCGCGGCCUAUCAGCUUGUUGGUGUGGUAGUGGCUCACCAAGGCUUCGACGGGUAGCCGGCCUGAGAGGGCGACCGGCCACAUUGGGACUGAGAUACGGCCCAAACUCCUACGGGAGGCAGCAGUGGGGAAUAUUGCACAAUGGACGGAAGUCUGAUGCAGCAACGCCGCGUGCGGGAUGACGGCCUUCGGGUUGUAAACCGCUUUCAAUUGUGACGAAGCUUUUUUGUGACGGUAGCAGUAGAAGAAGCACCGGCUAACUACGUG